CUAGGGGAUUGACAUAGUCUG
Molecule: microRNA, 21 nt
Filed under: Cervus elaphus (red deer)
Lineage: Eukaryota; Metazoa; Chordata; Mammalia; Artiodactyla; Cervidae
Description: PC-5p-189879
Source: RNAcentral